Chenopodium quinoa (quinoa) is the source of this 2910-nucleotide long non-coding RNA. RefSeq lists it as uncharacterized. The transcript has 12 exons. The record is from RefSeq and is a predicted model, not a curated record. NCBI's taxonomy places the organism in Eukaryota, Viridiplantae, Streptophyta, Magnoliopsida, Caryophyllales, Amaranthaceae.
UUUAACCAAAGCAUUUUGAAAUGUGAAAUGCCUCCAAAAAAUAAGUUAGGGCUCAAAAGAUUCCAUUCAUUCUCGUUCUCUCUUCUCCCUCUAACAACCUCUAAUGUACUGUACUCUCCUCAAUUCAAUCCUCUUCUCGCCGCCGGAAAAGAAAAUCAUCUAGGUCGCCGCUGGUGCUGCCAUCUUUCUUCUCGCCGGUGCUACUCUUCUUUCUUCCUCACCUUAGCAUCGUUGGUUUAACUCGUCCCCAAUUGUCUUCUUCGUUCUUCCGACAAUCUUAGCCGAAUCUGGAUUCUUCGUUCGUGGUGCUGGGUUCUGGUGGAUGGGAGUUGUAGGUGGGUGGUUGUCGUAAGUGGGUGUUCGUGGGACUGGCUUCUGGUGGGUGGGGGUUAUAGUGGGUUAUGGUUCUGGGCGCUUGAAGUCGGAAAAGAAGCUCAAUUCAACCCUCUUCCUCACCGCCGGAAGCUCCUUUAGGUCGCCGACGGUUCCUCAUCUCCCCCGAUCAUCGGUUAAAUGUUGUUUCCAAGUUGAAUUUGUGUUCUCGCUGCCGGAAUCUGCCAUUGACGCCUCCUCUUACAUGCUUUUUCAACCUUUAAUUUGACAGCUUGGUCCUUCAAUUCGAUAGACUACAAGAUCCCUUUGUGUUUUGCUUUUGACGGAAUAUAGAGUUCAAUUUUCAUAGAAGCGGAUAUUUUGACUCAUUUUCAUCUGGAAGAUGAUGAAGCUAAGAAAAAAGUUUUCCUUUGUGUCGUUCGUGAUAGAUUCAGAGAUUUUAAGGCCAAGUUAGUGAGUGGUUGGAUCACUAAAACAAGACCGAGAACAGUGGCCCAAAAGAAGAAGGCAAAGAAAGAAAAAGAAAAGGGGAAAGAAGUUAGGCAAGAAGAUGGAGUUGCGGAGAAGGAGAAUGAGAAUGGGGAAGAGAAAGAGAUGAUGCCUUAGGAGAUUUGGCCUCAUAUCACUGAAGAUGACUAGAAGGACUUUGUUGCUUUCAAAAACAGUGACACCGGAGUUGCAAAGCGUGAGAAGAAUAAGAAAGUUUCGUUGAAGAAGAAGCACUAUCAUCGUAUGGGUCCUAAAACCUUUAAUGAGUGCAGAAAUGAGUGGAUUGAAAACGGUCUUUACCCAAAAUUUUCGGAUGGCUCCACAGUUACGACUGCUAAGAUUACUCAUGCUGCAGAUUGGUUUUGUUCGAUGUAUGGUAAAAAUGCGAAGGGAGAGAGAGUUAUUCCAAAUGCUGAAACGCAUAAAGUCGCUGCUAAAGUUGAAGAAACCCCAUGUGAACUUCUCCUUCGUGAUGGUUCAGUUGUUGUUGGGGUGAUUGUAGUUGCUUAUGGUCAUGCACAACCAACCAUGGAGGGUCGUAAAGUGCAUGGUUCUCUUGUACCCAGUAGGAAUUUGGCGGUGUCUGUAGACAUCAUCGUAGAUGGUUGCAAGGAGCUUGCUCUUCCAGUCCCGACGCCUAAUAAUAACCUUCUUGUUUUGAGAGAUGCUAAAUCAACUUUUGUUGCAUGGCCAAUUUCAUUAGUGAGGUUUCCAAGUCAGAAACCUAUCAUUUCCAAAGGUGCAAAAGGGGAGAAAAGAAAAAGGGUUCAGAAGGGAAUGUGAAAAAAGUGGGUGCAAGUCGCAAAAUUUCAAAUGUCGAUUCUCUUUAUAAAGAAAAGAUUUUGGAAUCAAAUGCUAUGGAAAAGGAUUCACUUUCCAAGAAAGUAGAUUCACUAGCAAAGAAUGAUAGCAAAUCACAAACACAAAGCUUAACUCAACAUAUGAAAAAGCUAUCAUCCAAAGGCUCGACACCGCAUUUGGUUAACCUAGUUGGUCGACUGGUCGAUCAAACGAUAAUUGAUCUUCUCUCUGGUCAAUGUUUUUAUUUGCAUUCAUGUGUUUGUCAGUUGCCAGAUGAUAAACCUAUAUAGGUUGCAUUAGAAAAGGAUCAAUUUCACUACAUGGAAGAUUGUUCGACAUGGAUACAUAAGGUGGAUGUUCAUGAGUUUCUUUGUGGUGAAAUGUUGAAUGUAUCCAUUAUUCAAGUUUUCAUGAGGUCCCUAUAUGAAGAUUUGCUCACACAUGAUUCCAUUACAAGGAUCGGGUGGUUGUGUCCACAAGAGACUCGAGAUGCAUAAUGCUUGCGUAGCCAGGCAGAAUUAAGGUUAUACAUUCACAUUGAGAUCGUAGAAUUAAUUCGCAAUGGACAUAAUUUCAUUCUUCCACCAUAUUUUGUAAGUCUCCAUUGGAUGCUCCUUGUGAUAUGUCCCUCUAUCAACACAAUCUACAUGUUUGAUUAUGCUAAUACUGAAGACACACCAAGACUGGUAUUGAUUAGAAUACAUCUAAAUAGUCAAAUGAAGAAAAUUAGUGGAAGAGGGCUAAGAAGGGAAUCAAUCCCUAUUUGGAAAACAAUGAAGGUAAAGUGGGCUAAGAAGGGAAUCAAUCCCUAUUUGGAAAACAAUGAAGAUAUUGUGCACAACAAAAGGAUGGUGUUGAAUGUGGCUAUUACAUGAUGAGGUACAUGUAUGAUGUAGUCAAAUGCUGCACUUCAGUGGAAGAUAUAGAGCAAGCUUAUAAGACUCAAAGGCUCGAGCCCUUCAAUGCUAGCGAGAUAGAUGAAGUACGAGACAAGUUUGCUUUGUUUAUGCUCAAUAAUUGUAUUUGAACGCCUUGAGAACGUUAUUAGUAGUUAGUACUAUUUUAUUUGAACUUAGAAAUUUAUGUGUAUUAUGUAAUUUUUAUUUCAACUUACUUUUAUUUGUAGGUACAAUUAUUUACAUGUUAUUUAUAAUAUAUAAUAUUUUGUUAUUGUAGUCAAUUUUGAUUUAGUACAGCUAGAUAACUCGCACAGGGUGCAGCAAUAUAUGGUUACAAGGCUAUAAUUAAACAUUGGUGCGAAAAAAUUCAAUAUUAAAAAAAAGAUAA